UUUUUUUUUUUUAGGGCUGCACCCACAACAUAGGGAAGUUCCUGGGCUACGGGUUGAAUCGGAACUAUAGCAGCCAGCCCACACCACAGCCAUAGUAACACCAGAUCCAAGCCGUGUCUGAAACCUACACUGCAGCUCACAGCAACACCAGAUCCUUAACCCACUGAGCGGGGCCAGGGAUCGCACCUGCGUUCUCAUGGGUACUAGUUGGGUUCAUUACUGCUGAGCCUCAAUGGGAACUCCUGAGAUUUCUUAUAAUCUGCUUUGACCACAAAUCUUGGCUUGAAAAUAAGAUGGCCCCAUUCAAUUUCAUUCUAAGCUGAAAUCUUUCUACCCACAUAUAGACAUUUGGAAGCAAGUUUUAGAAAUUCUGACUUCCGACUCUUGAUGACCUUCUGUGACAACAGGUGGUUUUCUUACACAGAGAUGGGCUAUUCCAACACUGGCAGAUCAAGGGAGGGGGGGAAACAGGCAAGCAUAUGCUCCUGCAGCCCCCAAUCCGCCAGAGAACUGUUCCACCCUUGUCUGCCAUGGGCCACACCAUCUGAACUUGGUUGCGUGUCCCUGGUCCUGGGUAGCAAUUCUCCCCCCCAGCUGCAUGAGGAGGUGAGAAUAUGUGAACCAGGUUCUGAAGGAUGCAUAGGAGUUCACUGGGUACAGGUGCUGGAGAAGAGAAUAUCCAGGGAACGGUAUGUGCAAAAAGCAUGGGCAGUAGGGUUUUGCAGGGGCAGAGGUUGGGCAGAAGGCAAAUGCCAGACUGUGAAUGGUUUUCCUUGCCCUAAGAAUGGGACUUCUACAGGACCCUGGGGAAUGGCCGAGUCAGACUUAAUUGGUAAGAGCAUCACUUUGACAGCAUAUGGAGAAGAGGCUGGUUCUGGGGGGGAAAAAAAGUCAAGAAGCCAGUUAGGAAGCUGUACUAGUCCAGGCCCGCAUGAUGGGGGCUUUGGACAAGAGCAGGAGCUGGGGGUGCGUGGGAAGAAGGGUCAAAUCUGAGGAAAGACCCCAUGAUUUGUUUAGAGUUGCCCCUGAGGCUACAGGGAUGGGGGUGGGGUAGGCAGCUGAGUCCAGUACAAGGGACAGAGCUAAGCAAUCUGAUUCUCAAGGCAGUUUCUGCCUUGACCCUGGAAUUUUUUACAUUCCUCCUGGUCAAGGGCAGCCAGCCGUAUAGAAGGCCAGGACAGAGGGCUGGCAGGGAAAACCGGUGAUUUCUAACAACUUCUCUGCUUCCUUUUAAGCUGAAAGUCCUCGGAUCAGGGAGCCCACGCCCUUUUCAUGCACAGAGAACAGAGGACGAGGGGGUGGGGGUGACCCACCCAAGGUCAACAGAGCAGAGCCUGGGGUGGGAGCAAUUCUAGGGGCUUCAGCUCCAGGGUUGUCUUCUGCUGCUGGACAACGCUGGCGUUCAGAAUUUGAUUUGGAGGAUAAAAAAUUAACCCUCAACCACCCAUCCUUAGCUGGGGCCUGAUAUGAUCCCAUUAGAAACACCCCUACAGGUCAAUGAAUUCUCUCCAGGAAAAGAGCAUGAACUUCGAGGGUGCGCAGGGUGUGUGUGUGUGAGAGAGAGCUGAGAGAGAGAGAGAAUAUGAAGCUGAGCCCAGAAAGCACGGCCCACGUCUGAUUGUUGGGGCUUCUAGGUAACAGUGAUAGCUUCUUUUGUGCAGCUGACACAGAGCUGGGUGGACUGAACGGUACAAGCCAGCUUCCUCCUCUGAAGACACAGGACAAGACCCACAAAGACCAACAAAGUUAAAGAUGAAUUAUCAUUGUUAUUAUUAUUUUGUCUUUUUAGGGCUGCAUCCGCAGCAUAUGGAGGUUCCCAGGCUAGGGGUUGAAUCAGAGCUUAGCCACCGGCCAACAGGAGCUACAGUCUCCAGGCGACACCACAGCCACAACAACGUGGGAGCCGAGCCAUAUCUUCGAGCUAUACCACAGCUCACAGCAGUGCUGGAUCCUCAACCCACUGAGCGAGGCCGGGGAUAGAACCUGCAUCCUCAUGUGGGUUAAGGAUCCAGCACUGCCAUGGGCCAUGUGGUGUAGGUCACAGAUGUGGCCCGGCUCCCAUGUUGCUGUGGCUGUGGUGUAGGCUGGAGACUGUAGCUCCAAUUCCACCCCAGCCUGGGAACUUCCAUAUGCCACANNNNNNNNNNNNNNNCCCCAAAAAAAAAAAAAAAAAAAAAAAAAAAAAAAAAAGAAGAUUCUCAGUUCACGCUUAGGUACCACCCACCAGUUCUUAAGUCUUUCCUGUCCGUGAGUUCACAGGUUCGCAGGUCCUUUCAGACUGUGACUCAUGACAGCUUUGAUGCCGCUUUUGCAGCAGAGAACACAGCCCUGGGAAGGCAGUGACUAGCCUAAGAUCUCACAACUAAAGAACCCUGAAGCCCAGGAGAGACCCCACCUUCUGGCUCUAAGCCCUGUAGGAUUUCAAUACCACCACAGCAGCGUCCCCGACAGAGGCCCUGAAUUCUAAGGCAAGGGACUCAUUCACACAAGCCCCCCGGCCCCUACCCCAAGAGUGGCCACAGCUAUAACCCGGCUGGUCCAGGGAGCAAAGGGGCCCAUAAAGGGCAUCAAAUGAGGUUUGGGGAUCCAAGGAGUCUUCUUGAAAAAGAUAAGACUAGGAGGUUCCUGUUGCGGCUCAGCGGUGAGGAACCCGACUAGUAUCCAUGAGGAUGUGGGUUCAAUUCCUGGCCUUGCUCAGUGGGUUAAGGAUCCAGCACUGCCAUGAGCUGUGGUGCAGGUUGCAGACGCAGCUCGGAUCCUGCGUUGCUGUGGCUGUUGUGUAGGCUGGUAGCUGCAGCUCUGAUUGGACUCCUAGCCCAGGAAUUUCCCUAUGCCACAGAAGCUGCCCUAAAAAGCAAAAAAAAAAAGGACUAAAGGAAAUUAGCCAGAAUGAAACAGCAGGGCUGGAGAGAACAGUGUUCUAGGCAGAGGGAAUAGUAAAUACAAAAAGCUUAGAGGCAAGAGAGCGCAGGUGUGUUUGAACAACGGAAGCCAGAGCAGCUGGAGCAUAACUUCUGCCAGGUGGCAAAGGACGAGGCCAAAGAGAGAGGCAGAUUCUGCGCUCAAGGGUCUUAGAGACACACGCUGAGUCCGAGCUCAUCUUCUCCAUCGCGUCGGGGGUGAAAACGGUACUGCUCUGAAAGCUGUUUGGGCGCAUCCGCAGAAACAUGUCAAACCUUUGGAUUUAGAAAGUCCAUCUCUGAGUCCAGCUCAGAAGAAACAAGCACCUCCAUCCACCAAGAGACCUGCCCAGGAACGUUCUUAGCAGCACCAACCAUAAGGGCCCACCCUAGAAACAACCGAAUCUUUCAUCUGGAGGAAAACAGAGAAACUGCAGUACUUUCAUCCAAACACUCGCAGCCAGGAAAAAGAAGGAAGGACUGCUUCCCACGGCCUGAGUGGAUCCGCAGACAGAAUACCCGGCAAAGUGCCAGCUACACAAAGAACACACAACUGCACCACUGCACUUACAUGAAGUUCAAGAACAAGCAAUGCUCAUCGCGGUGACAGGACUUGGAACAGAGGCCACUGCUGGAGGCGGGCAUUUACUGGGAAGGGGCAGGAGGGAAGCUGCUGGGACUCCAGAAGUUCCCUACAUCUGGAUCUGGUGGUGGUGACAUAGGCUUAAGACACAGGUGCCC
This 3641-nucleotide long non-coding RNA is filed under the name Sus scrofa (pig). RNAcentral's name for it is "lncRNA (ENSSSCG00005042890.1)". Lineage: Eukaryota; Metazoa; Chordata; Mammalia; Artiodactyla; Suidae. The record is from RNAcentral.